Molecule: long non-coding RNA, 883 nt
Filed under: Homo sapiens (human)
Lineage: Eukaryota; Metazoa; Chordata; Mammalia; Primates; Hominidae
Description: HSALNT0171552
Source: RNAcentral
GAAGGAUCCUGCAGCCCGAGUCCCGUCCUCAGGCUUCCCCAAUCCAGGGGACUCGGCGCCGGGACGCUGCUAUGGACGACAUUUUCACUCAGUGCCGGGAGGGCAACGCAGUCGCCGUUCGCCUGUGGCUGGACAACACGGAGAACGACCUCAACCAGGGGUGAGCUGAAACGGUUGGUGGAUGAGAGGAAGGCUAGAGAUCUCCUGGCUACGUGGAGUGGAGUGCUCAUGUCUGGUGGUGGCGGCUGCCUUUGCUAGCCAGUGUAAUGAGUGCUAAGCAUAGCCUGUGGGGGGCAGAGGGUUUUCACAGAGGACGCAGUUUGAGCUGAAUCUUGACUGCAGAAUAAGAGUUUCACAGGCAGAGGCUACAGAGAGCUUUCCAGCCUCAGUAGACUGCAUGGCCAAAGGCUAGGGGGCAAGGCACAGAGCAGAGAGAACAGGAAAUUGUCUGGAGUUCCAUAUGGCUGGAGGAUAGAUGAUCUCUGUGGGUCGGAGCAUUGGGUACAAGAGGAAAAGAACAGGACAUAAGACUGUAGAGGUCUCCAAGGAUCAGCCAGAUCAUGCAAGCAUAUUUAGGCUAUAAGAAGGUCUUUAUUUUAAAAGCAAGGUUUUAAAGCUGUAUAGUGACAUAAUGAGAUUGUCCAUUUUUCAGUAUCGUCUUGGAUGCUUUGUGAAGAGCAGGUGGAAAGGAGGCAAUUGCCUAGUUCAUCGUAGAAGUAAUGAUGUCUUGGACUAGAAUUAGGGUGAGUGAAAAAGAGAAGUGAUCAAAUUCCAGAAGUCUUUAGGACGAAGAAUUGUGGAACUUGGUGUGGGGAGUGAGUAAGGGCAAAGAUGAGGACCAGGGUUCUGGCUUGGGAACUUGGUUGUUUUUACUGAGAUGGAG